Molecule: non-coding RNA, 131 nt
Filed under: Phytophthora kernoviae 00238/432
Lineage: Eukaryota; Oomycota; Peronosporomycetes; Peronosporales; Peronosporaceae
Source: RNAcentral
GUGAGGGUUGAGGUAUGUGGGUCCGUGUCACUAUCCCCAGGAUGUGGAUGGCGCGUCCAUCUCAAACCAGGAGUGGACAUUGGGACAUUGGCGUAAGCUAGUGUACCGAGGUCCGUAAAGAAGGGUAUACU